Molecule: ribosomal RNA, 468 nt
Filed under: uncultured bacterium
Lineage: Bacteria
Description: partial 16S ribosomal RNA
Rfam family: Bacterial small subunit ribosomal RNA
Source: RNAcentral
GACGAACGCUGGCGGCGUGCUUAACACAUGCAAGUCGAACGGAAAGGCCCUGCUUUUGUGGGGUGCUCGAGUGGCGAACGGGUGAGUAACACGUGAGUAACCUGCCCUUGACUUUGGGAUAACUUCAGGAAACUGGGGCUAAUACCGGAUAGGAGCUCCUGCUGCAUGGUGGGGGUUGGAAAGUUUCGGCGGUUGGGGAUGGACUCGCGGCUUAUCAGCUUGUUGGUGGGGUAGUGGCUUACCAAGGCUUUGACGGGUAGCCGGCCUGAGAGGGUGACCGGCCACAUUGGGACUGGGAUAAGGCCCCGACUCCCACGGGAGGCAGGAGUGGGGAAUAUUGCACAAUGGGCGGAAGCCUGAUGCAGCAACGCCGCGUGCGGGAUGACGGCCUUCGGGUUGUAAACCGCUUUCGCCUGUGACGAAGCGUGAGUGACGGUAAUGGGUAAAGAAGCACCGGCUAACUACGUG